This 488-nucleotide ribosomal RNA is filed under the name uncultured bacterium. Its description in RNAcentral is "bacterial SSU rRNA". It matches the Rfam family "Bacterial small subunit ribosomal RNA", at positions 501 to 990 of the family's 1533-position model. The record is from RNAcentral.
CUACGUGCCAGCAGCCGCGGUAAUACGUAGGGGGCUAGCGUUAUCCGGAUUUACUGGGCGUAAAGGGUGCGUAGGUGGUCCUUCAAGUCGGUGGUUAAAGGCUACGGCUCAACCGUAGUAAGCCGCCGAAACUGGAGGACUUGAGUGCAGGAGAGGAAAGUGGAAUUCCCAGUGUAGCGGUGAAAUGCGUAGAUAUUGGGAGGAACACCAGUAGCGAAGGCGGCUUUCUGGACUGCAACUGACACUGAGGCACGAAAGCGUGGGUAGCAAACAGGAUUAGAUACCCUGGUAGUCCACGCUGUAAACGAUGAGUACUAGGUGUCGGGGGUUACCCCCCUCGGUGCCGCAGCUAACGCAUUAAGUACUCCGCCUGGGGAGUACGCACGCAAGUGUGAAACUCAAAGGAAUUGACGGGGACCCGCACAAGUAGCGGAGCAUGUGGUUUAAUUCGAAGCAACGCGAAGAACCUUACCUAAGCUUGACAUCCC